AUGGUCAACCCCACUGUUCUUCAACAUUGCUGACGAAGGCAAGCCCUUGGGCCGCGUCUCCUUCAACCUGUUUGCAGACAAGAUUCCAAAGACAGCAGAAAACUUUCAUGCUCUGAGCACUGGCGAGAAAGGAUUUGGUUUUAAGGGUUUCCGCUUUCACAGAAUUAUUCCAGGGUUUAUGUAUCAGGGUGGUGACUUCACACCCAUAAUGGCACUGGUGGCAAGUCCAUUUACGGGGAGAAAUUUGGUGAUGAAAACUUCAUCCUAAAGCAUACAGGUCCUAGCAUCUUGUCCAUGGCAAAUGCUGGACCCAACACAAACGGUUCCCAGUUUUUCAUCUGCACUGCCAAGACUGAGUGGUUGGAUGGCAAGCAUGUGGUCUGUGGCAAGGCGAAAGAAGGCAAGAAUAUUGUGGAGGCCAUGGAGCGCUGUGGUUCCAGGAAUGGCAAGACCAGCAAGAAGAUCACCAUUGCUGACUGUGAACAACUCUAA
RNAcentral lists this long non-coding RNA (492 nucleotides) under Homo sapiens (human). RNAcentral describes it as "non-protein coding lnc-NINL-1:1". Lineage: Eukaryota; Metazoa; Chordata; Mammalia; Primates; Hominidae. The record is from RNAcentral.